GUUGGAGUGUGGUGGCGCAUGCCUGUAAUCCCAGCAUCUUUGGAGGCUGAGACAGGAGGAUCACAAGUCCAAAGCCAGUCUCAGCAAAACCAGGGCACUAAGCAAAUCACUGAGACCCUGUCUCUG
This 126-nucleotide small RNA is filed under the name Marmota monax (woodchuck). Lineage: Eukaryota; Metazoa; Chordata; Mammalia; Rodentia; Sciuridae. The record is from RNAcentral.